GACGAACGUUGGCGGCGUGCUUAACACAUGCAAGUCGAACGGAAAGGCCCUGCUUUUGUGGGGUGCUCGAGUGGCGAACGGGUGAGUAACACGUGAGUAACCUGCCCUUGACUUUGGGAUAACUUCAGGAAACUGGGGCUAAUACCGGAUAGGAGCUCCUGCUGCAUGGUGGGGGUUGGAAAGUUUCGGCGGUUGGGGAUGGACUCGCGGCUUAUCAGCUUGUUGGUGGGGUAGUGGCUUACCAAGGCUUUGACGGGUAGCCGGCCUGAGAGGGUGACCGGCCACAUUGGGACUGAGAUACGGCCCAGACUCCUACGGGAGGCAGCAGUGGGGAAUAUUGCACAAUGGCGGAAGCCUGAUGCAGCAACGCCGCGUGCGGGAUGACGGCCUUCGGGUUGUAAACCGCUUUCGCCUGUGACGAAGCGUGAGUGACGGUAAUGGGUAAAGAAGCACCGGCUAACUACGUG
Molecule: ribosomal RNA, 467 nt
Filed under: uncultured bacterium
Lineage: Bacteria
Description: partial 16S ribosomal RNA
Rfam family: Bacterial small subunit ribosomal RNA
Source: RNAcentral